CAGUAGCCGCGGUAAUACGAAGGGGGCUAGCGUUGCUCGGAAUUACUGGGCGUAAAGCGUGCGUAGGCGGUUCGUUAAGUCUGCUGUGAAAGCCCCGGGCUCAACCUGGGAAUGGCAGUGGAUACUGGCGAGCUAGAGUGUGUCAGAGGAUGGUGGAAUUCCCGGUGUAGCGGUGAAAUGCGUAGAUAUCGGAAGGAACACCCGUGGCGAAAGCGGCUCACUGGACCAUAACUGACGCUGAGGCGCGAAAGCUAGGGGAGCAAACAGGAUUAGAUACCCCUGUAGUCCCUGUCUCUUAUAC
This 301-nucleotide ribosomal RNA is filed under the name uncultured bacterium. RNAcentral's name for it is "partial 16S ribosomal RNA". It matches the Rfam family "Bacterial small subunit ribosomal RNA", at positions 509 to 807 of the family's 1533-position model. The record is from RNAcentral.